RNAcentral lists this ribosomal RNA (798 nucleotides) under uncultured Glomus. RNAcentral's name for it is "SSU rRNA". It matches the Rfam family "Eukaryotic small subunit ribosomal RNA", at positions 314 to 1114 of the family's 1831-position model. RNAcentral also lists the same sequence under 1 other name. The record is from RNAcentral. Lineage: Eukaryota; Fungi; Glomeromycota; Glomeromycetes; Glomerales; Glomeraceae.
AUCAACUUUCGAUGGUAGGAUAGAGGCCUACCAUGGUGGUAACGGGUAACGGGGUGUUAGGGCACGACACCGGAGAGGGAGCCUGAGAAACGGCUACCACAUCCAAGGAUGGCAGCAGGCGCGCAAAUUACCCAAUCCCGACACGGGGAGGUAGUGACAAUAAAUAACAAUACGGGGUUCUUUCGGAUUUCGUAAUUGGAAUGAGUACAAUUUAAAUCUCUUAACGAGGAACAAUUGGAGGGCAAGUCUGGUGCCAGCAGCCGCGGUAAUUCCAGCUCCAAUAGCGUAUAUUAAAGUUGCUGCAGUUAAAAAGCUCGUAGUUGAAUUUCGGGACCAAUAUGUCGGUCGUGCCUCGGUACGUACUGGCAUCGUUGGUUUCUCCCUUCUGACGAACCAUGAUGUCAUUUAUUUGGUGUCGUGGGGAAUCAGGACUGUUACUUUGAAAAAAUUAGAGUGUUUAAAGCAGGCUCACGCUUGAAUACAUUAGCAUGGAAUAAUGAAAUAGGACGUUUGAUUCUAUUUUGUUGGUUUCUAGGAUCGACGUAAUGAUUAAUAGGGAUAGUUGGGGGCAUUAGUAUUCAAUUGUCAGAGGUGAAAUUCUUGGAUUUAUUGAAGACUAACUACUGCGAAAGCAUUUGCCAAGGAUGUUUUCAUUAAUCAAGAACGAAAGUUAGGGGAUCGAAGACGAUCAGAUACCGUCGUAGUCUUAACCAUAAACUAUGCCGACUAGGGAUCGGAUGAUGUUAAUUUUUUAAUGACUCAUUCGGCGCCUUACGGGAAACCAAAGUGUUUGGGUUC